Long non-coding RNA from Empidonax traillii (willow flycatcher), 2203 nucleotides. RefSeq lists it as uncharacterized. The record is from RefSeq and is a predicted model, not a curated record. Lineage: Eukaryota; Metazoa; Chordata; Aves; Passeriformes; Tyrannidae. The transcript is spliced from 2 exons.
CUGAUAAAAUGACAUCUUAGUGUAUAUGUCCAAAUCCUAAAGCUGUUUAAUAAUUUACAGGAGGAAGGUGUCCAGAAUGAAUUGCUCAUUAAAGAUUUAGAGACUUUGAAGCUUCAGACUCUUCCUGUACCACAAAACCAGAGCGCUUCCCUAACAAAAAGCAGGAAGAAGGCAGGGAAAGUGAACAAUAUGGAACAUGAAUAGUAGUUCUGGAAUAGACAGAGCAGGGAAAACGCCAAAAAUAUCAAAAAAAUAAUUUGCCACCGUACAGGUCUUAAAGCACAUAUUGUCUGGAGCGAGAUGCUGACCUUGUUAAAGUUAUGGGGAAUAAUUCCAAUGGCAUUAGCACAGCUUUGCCUGAUGAAAUGAGGAUGGAGGGCGUGGGUUGCAUUCAAGGGAUAUUUCCUUUAUUUUUCGGGUUUCUCUGAGGCCUGGAAGAACCGAGGAAGGAAAAGUGGUGUAUCCAGAAACGUGUGAAUUCCUCAAGCGGAAGCAGCUCAGACAAGCUCAAUACACAUUUUGUGAAAAAGCUAACUGCUCGUGACAAGACAAUGUAUGAGAUUUGGCUGUAAAUUAGAAUUUGUUUGGCACCAAACAGGACAUUUGGCACUGAAUAGAGUUCAGAUAACAAGUUUAGAUAUGACACAGAGAAUGAGGUUGGAUAUGACUGAAUAUUAAAAAAAAUAUUCCUUUAAAUUCACUAGGGGUUCAGUUUUUAUCUAGGUUUUAUGUGCCUGCAGGGUUUACAACUCUGGCCCUCUCCUUUAGAAAUUUCAUAAGUUAUACUUGGAUGAAAAAAUAGUAUGUUAUAAUAGAAGCUUCUUCAAAUCUUAACAAAAAGCAGCUCUACAUAUUUGGCUCUUAAUUGUAGGAAUGAAAUAGAUGGUAGUAGAGUAAAUGUCAAUAUAUUUUCUUCGUCGGUUAAAAUAUAUAAAAACUUAAGAUAUCAGAGAUUUGUAAAGAACCUGUAUUUUCUGAGAUUUUUUUUUUUGCCUGCUUUCUUGCCACGUCACUGAUUUUGUUACUUUAAAUAAACUUUGCAUGAAGUAACUUCCAGUGUUGAAAAACAAAUAUUUAGCUUUUCCUAAGAAUCAUAUACUAGGAUAUUGCAAAGUCACCCCCAGUAAUGUCACUUUGACUGGAAACAGAUUCCAGGUUUUUAUCUCUUACAUUACUCAUACUUGAACUUGAUUUUUAGUGACGAUUAUGCAGCUAUAAAUGAAGACAAACAGAUCAAUAACACUGUCAAAGUUGACUGCAGAAGCAUCUUUAUACCUUUUAGUAACUUGAACAAACAGCAUGUGCUGCUAUGGGUGGUCUGGUCUUCUGAUACCUGUUUUAUUUACAAAGUGAGGAGUGGAAUAGAUUUAUCAUGUAAUAUCAGCAACAAAGAAAAAUUUGUGAGGCUUAUCAGUACUUUAAAGUUUGCUGUUAACAAAACUUUGCUCAGCUUCAAGAAAAGCUCUUUAUUGUGUUUUAACGUGGAAUGGAAUAUUGUGCUGAACUCAUCAUUGUAUUUAUUUUUAUUAUGUACAGAAACUACAGUGACAUGAGCAUUUUCUAGAACUGGGAAAUUAAACAGGUUAUUACUCUCUAUCUGAAGAAAAUUAGUGCUGUCAUUGCAAGGCUAUUAUUUCUAUUCAUUUUCAGUGCAACAAAUUGGUUUUGCAAGGUUUUGUUACUCUUCCCUCCCAUCCCCACAUCUGUCUUGUCUCUGCUGAGCUUGGGUUAAUGAGGGGCCACAUGCAUUUUGCCUAUUUUAGGCUCAAAAAUAAAUUUUCUUACAAAGCAUAUCAAUGAUGUUAUUAAUCACACAGUGCCUUUAUAAUGUUUUUGUGUUAACUGUAUUUUUGAUGCUUACUCUUAUGCUAGUAGGCGUAAUUAUUCUUUAAAUAACAAAGAAAAUUAUGCAUACAUUUAUACAUUCAUGACAUUUGAAGACUAUUGUUUCCUAAUGGAGGUAUAAAUCACUGCUUUUUAUAAUCUUUUGAAUUUUGUCAGUGAAUGGUGUCAUAACUAUUAUUUAAUAACAGGCAAAAGGCCUCAUCAGUAACUUAACUUUCCUGCAGAUGAUCCUCCUCUGUGUAUCACUGCUCUGCAACUCUGUGUUGAAGAACAGAGAAUGUUAAUUUGCCUCGAUAAAUGCAUGAGAUCACUGCAAAAGUUAGAGGAAAUAUGAAAAUAAACUGACAUGCAUCUCUGA